AAAUUGAAGAGUUUGAUCAUGGCUCAGAUUGAACGCUGGCGGCAGGCCUAACACAUGCAAGUCGAACGGUAACAGGAAGCAGCUUGCUGCUUCGCUGACGAGUGGCGGACGGGUGAGUAAUGUCUGGGAAACUGCCUGAUGGAGGGGGAUAACUACUGGAAACGGUGGCUAAUACCGCAUAACGUCGCAAGACCAAAGAGGGGGACCUUCGGGCCUCUUGCCAUCAGAUGUGCCCAGAUGGGAUUAGCUUGUUGGUGAGGUAACGGCUCACCAAGGCGACGAUCCCUAGCUGGUCUGAGAGGAUGACCAGCCACACUGGAACUGAGACACGGUCCAGACUCCUACGGGAGGCAGCAGUGGGGAAUAUUGCACAAUGGGCGCAAGCCUGAUGCAGCCAUGCCGCGUGUAUGAAGAAGGCCUUCGGGUUGUAAAGUACUUUCAGCGGGGAGGAAGGUGUUGCGGUUAAUAACCGCAGCAAUUGACGUUACCCGCAGAAGAAGCACCGGCUAACUCCGUGCCAGCAGCCGCGGUAAUACGGAGGGUGCAAGCGUUAAUCGGAAUUACUGGGCGUAAAGCGC
This 578-nucleotide ribosomal RNA is filed under the name Salmonella enterica subsp. enterica serovar Infantis. RNAcentral's name for it is "bacterial SSU rRNA". It matches the Rfam family "Bacterial small subunit ribosomal RNA", at positions 1 to 568 of the family's 1533-position model. The record is from RNAcentral. RNAcentral also lists the same sequence under 1 other name. Lineage: Bacteria; Pseudomonadati; Pseudomonadota; Gammaproteobacteria; Enterobacterales; Enterobacteriaceae.